RNAcentral lists this long non-coding RNA (1782 nucleotides) under Gallus gallus (chicken). Lineage: Eukaryota; Metazoa; Chordata; Aves; Galliformes; Phasianidae. The record is from RNAcentral.
AUUCCUGCCUACCUGAAGUGAAGCUUUCCAUGGGUAACUAAUUCUAAUGACCUGGUAUGCUGCAACAAAGCCUAAGCCACGUCUUCAUUGGCAGCUGAAGCCAGUACUGUUACCCCAACAGGAUUACUGAUCAUCUUUGGAAUUCUAUUGGAGAGUAGAGGCCUGCCAUCUUAGUGGCAUGCAGUUAAUGACUCGUAUGGGAAGGUUACUACAAUAUCCAGUUUUGAUCUUCAGCUACCAGUUUGCAGAUCCAAAACACCCAGUGACUUCACUGUGCCCUCGUGUAAAUGUUGAUAAGUGAGGUGUAACUAUUUACAAACUGGAAAAUUGAGAAACCGGUCUGAAGAGUCCUAUAGGCAAUAGGGAAAUGGCCUUCUGGCUUAUGAAAUUAAUGAACAAGCAGAAUGAUUUGUGAAAAACAACUGUUUUAUAGGACCACCACCUGCAGUAUGGGCUGACUCCCACAAUGUGGAAGAAAUCCAGAACAUCAUUUCAGAUUAAUUUCUUGACAUCUCAACUUUGUCCUGCACCCCAUCCACCAACACAGAACAUACUCAAGAGUAACAAAGAUAUUUCUGGUGACACACUGCAGCCAUGGGAAAUUGGAAUGCAAGUCAUGCCAUAUCUACUGACAGCUCAUAAAGUACUCCACAGCAGUGCAGAAGAUGUAUUUUCUAUGCCUGAAGAUCAUGUUAGCUUGGUCCGGGUUUUGCUAAAUAGUACUGAACUUUUGGCUGUUUAUUCCCAACUCUGUGAUGUCAGCUGGCCUCCCUGGAAGCCAGACUCCAAUUGCGGCAACCAUUCUGUACACGCACAUUGCAUGGAAAGAGUUACCUAGUAAUAAAAAACAUAUGAAGCUCUGAGAUCAGUUCCCUCUUUUUCCUCCCUAGGUGUUCCUUCGUGGUUGUGAUUUGUGCACAAGCCUAUAGAAAAUGCUGCAUUUUCAAGCCAAGAUAUACAAAGUGUUUGAGGCUCCCAGUUCCUAUUUAAGCAUCUUACCUUGGGUUCCUAAAAGUGAAUGGGGGCCUAAAUACCUUUGCAGGUCUGGCCCGCAGUACCCAAUGCAAAUGUAGGCAAGGGAAAGGAGUGAGGUUUCACAUUGCUGCCCACUGACCAUUGCUCACUCUGAACUCUCAGCCCAAAUGGUUUCUGGAAUCAUUUGGCAUUCAGCUGGCUUGGGUUUUAUUACACAUUUAUUACACAGAUGCAUUCAAUUGCUUCAUGUACAAUUAAUGUUCUAGCACUCACAAAACUGACCACUGAUUUAGAAUCCACCUUAUUCUAGAGUUUCUCUCAUCCCAAGAUAGUGUUUAAAAUAAUUCACAGGAUCCCCUUCCUUAAACUUUCUCGUAUGGGCUGUGUGCAUUCUUUUGCAAAACAAAGCAAACACAGUUGGAAGGUCUUUAACUGGUAAUGGGCUUUGGCCUAAUUGCUUUGACAAGACAGAGUUAUGAUAUUAUGCAUCAGUUUAGGAUUAAAACCAUUCAACCUGCAAUUACAUACUGUUUUUCAAGGGAAUUAGGUUGCCACAUCUUAAAAUGAUUUGACAAUUAAGACUAUUUGCAAUAUCUUGAAAAUUCUAUCCUGAAGUCCUUAUUCAGACCUUCGUUUCCAUUGGAGCUUCAUGAAAUUAUUCUUCAUCUUUUUUCUCUUGAUAGCAACACACCUGAUCAUACUCAUAAUUCUCUCUUCCUUGACACUAUGAGCAACUUUAGCAGGAGAGUUAUUCAGUUCCCCAGUAUGUGUAGCAUACAUCUUAAUCUUAAUAAAAAUUUCACUGAG